RNAcentral lists this ribosomal RNA (253 nucleotides) under uncultured bacterium. RNAcentral's name for it is "partial 16S ribosomal RNA". It matches the Rfam family "Bacterial small subunit ribosomal RNA", at positions 524 to 776 of the family's 1533-position model. The record is from RNAcentral.
UACAGAGGUCCCGAGCGUUAUCCGGAUUCACUGGGUUUAAAGGGUGCGUAGGUGGGUCUGUAAGUCAGUGGUGAAAUCUCCGAGCUUAACUCGGAAACUGCCAUUGAUACUAUAGAUCUUGAAUCAUCUGGAGGUAAGCGGAAUAUGUCAUGUAGCGGUGAAAUGCUUAGAUAUGACAUAGAACACCAAUUGCGAAGGCAGCUUACUACGGGUGCAUUGACACUGAGGCACGAAAGCGUGGGGAUCAAACAGG